RNAcentral lists this ribosomal RNA (500 nucleotides) under uncultured bacterium. RNAcentral describes it as "bacterial SSU rRNA". It matches the Rfam family "Bacterial small subunit ribosomal RNA", at positions 11 to 507 of the family's 1533-position model. The record is from RNAcentral.
UUUAGAUCAUGGCUCAAAUUGAACGCUGGCGGAAUGCUUUCUUUUGCAAGUCGAACGGCAGCACGGGGGCAACCCUGGUGGCGAGUGGCGAACGGGUGAGUAAUACAUCGGAACGUGCCCAGUCGUGGGGGAUAACGUAGCGAAAGUUACGCUAAUACCGCAUACGAUCUACGGAUGAAAGCGGGGGAUCGCAAGACCUCGCGCGAUUGGAGCGGCCGAUGUCAAAUUAGGUAGUUGGUGGGGUAAAGGCUCACCAAGCCAACAAUCUGUAGCUGGUCUGAGAGGACAACCAGCCACACUGGGACUGAGACACGGCCCAAACUCCUACGGGAGGCAGCAGUGGGGAAUUUUGGACAAUGGACGCAAGUCUGAUCCAGCCAUUCCGCGUGCAGGACGAAGGCCUUCGGGUUGUAAACUGCUUUUGUACGGAACGAAAAAGCCUUGGUUAAUACCCGGGGUCCAUGACGGUACCGUAAGAAUAAGCACCGGCUAACUACGUG